This 426-nucleotide unclassified non-coding RNA is filed under the name soil metagenome. RNAcentral describes it as "partial contains 5.8S ribosomal RNA, internal transcribed spacer 2, and large subunit ribosomal RNA". The stretch from base 1 to 120 matches the Rfam family "5.8S ribosomal RNA", at positions 35 to 154 of the family's 154-position model. The record is from RNAcentral.
GAUGAAGAACGCAGCGAAAUGCGAUAAGUAAUGUGAAUUGCAGAAUUCAGUGAAUCAUCGAAUCUUUGAACGCAUCUUGCGCUCUGGGGCAUUCCCCAGAGCAUGCCUGUUUGAGUGUCGUGAGUCCAUCUCAACCCCCCUCCGCUCGGUGUUUUCCCGCCCUCUUAGGAGACGGGGAACAAAAAAAACCCUCGGGGAAGGGGGCUUGGAUCUUGAUCGGUGCCGGUCUCCGCCAAGGCUCGGUCGAAAUGCAAGAAGUGUGGUCGAUCCCGACCGCCUGCCGGCUCGGCGUGAUAAUUUCUCGUUGUCGCCGAUUACGGGUUAGGCGUUGAAAGACCCGCUAAGACAACCCCGUGUGUCGCUUCUUUUUGACCUCAAAUCAGGUAGGACUACCCGCUGAACUUAAGCAUAUCAAUAAGCGGAGGA